RNAcentral lists this ribosomal RNA (462 nucleotides) under uncultured bacterium. RNAcentral's name for it is "partial 16S ribosomal RNA". It matches the Rfam family "Bacterial small subunit ribosomal RNA", at positions 28 to 507 of the family's 1533-position model. The record is from RNAcentral.
GAUGAACGCUGCCAGAAUGCUUAACACAUGCAAGUCAUUGGCGAAGCUGCGCUUGCGCAGUCUAGCCAAGGCGGACGGGUGAGUAACGCGUAAGGAACUUGCCCUGCAGACAGGGAUAACAGACGGAAACGACUGAUAAAACCUGGUAUUGUCAGGCUGGCGCAUGCCGGCCUGAUGAAAGGAGACGCUGCAGGAGAGCCUUGCGUCCUAUUAGCUAGUUGGUGGGGUAACGGCCCACCAAGGCGAUGAUAGGUAGCCGGCCUGAGAGGGUGAACGGCCACAAGGGGACUGAGAUACGGCCCUUACUCCUACGGGAGGCAGCAGUGGGGAAUAUUGGACAAGGGGGGCAACCCUGAUCCAGCAAUUCUGUGUGCACGAAGAAGGUUUUCGGAUUGUAAAGUGCUUUCAGCAGGGAAGAAGAAAGUGACGGUACCUGCAGAAGAAGCGACGGCUAAAUACGUG